GAAGAACCGUGUUCAUCUGAGGCAUCAGAGAAAAGAGACCGGUAGCCUACCUUCCAAGACGCCCCGGACUCUGAAGAAGUUCUGCCCCAAUUCGUCAACUCCAACCGGUACAAAAACGCGAAGAAGCAUUACAGAGGUUGUCACCCAUUUUCCAUCCACUUGACCUCCACCUGGAACACCUAAACAAUUUUCUCAAAUCAUUUAUGGGAGAUUGGGACCAAACAUGUCAGAAAUGUCAGCAGCCAGAAUCAGUAAGUCCAUUGGCAUCGUCAAAGAGCUAAUGGACAAAACGGACACAGAGCUGGAGCUGACAAGGCCGACUGGCAUUCAUCAUGUGGCCCGAGAACAGGAGGACGUUUUAACACGUUUUCAGGGAGACACAACUUUCCCAAAAAAAAUCACCCAGGCAGGCAGUAUCAUGCAUUCCCGAAUUUCAAGAGAAACUUAUUGGCAAAGCUGAAUUACCAGGAGAUGUGGAUGAAGUCCAAAAUAAUGGACUGGCAAAAUGUGCCUAUUUAAAUAAUGAAGUAAAUGUGAACUGUAAAUGGUGAUGGUAAUUUGUAAAUAUUGUUUUCAUAAAUGACAAUGUAAAUAAUUGUGUUUUCAUAUAAUAGUUUAGUAGUAUCCACAUUCUUGAAACCAUUUUUGUGUUUUCUUAUUGGUUGUAUGUUCAAAGUUUAGCGUAUAUCUUCAAACAUUACCUAUUAUGUGUAGAUAUUAAAAAUCUUUAUUGACA
This is a long non-coding RNA of Alosa sapidissima (American shad), 736 nucleotides long. RefSeq lists it as uncharacterized. The record is from RefSeq and is a predicted model, not a curated record. The transcript has 2 exons. NCBI's taxonomy places the organism in Eukaryota, Metazoa, Chordata, Actinopteri, Clupeiformes, Clupeidae.